GACGUAGGGCGCGAGCGUUGUCCGGAUUUAUUGGGCGUAAAGAGCUCGUAGGUGGUUUGUCGCGUUGUUCGUGAAAACUCACAGCUCAACUGUGGGCGUGCGGGCGAUACGGGCAGACUAGAGUACUGCAGGGGGAGACUGGAAUUCCUGGUGUAGCGGUGGAAUGCGCAGAUAUCAGGAGGAACACCAGUAGCGAAGGCGGCUCGCUGGGCCAUUCCUGACGCUGAGACGCGAAAGCUAGGGGGAGCGAACAGGG
This 256-nucleotide ribosomal RNA is filed under the name uncultured bacterium. Its description in RNAcentral is "partial 16S ribosomal RNA". It matches the Rfam family "Bacterial small subunit ribosomal RNA", at positions 524 to 777 of the family's 1533-position model. The record is from RNAcentral.